This 292-nucleotide ribosomal RNA is filed under the name uncultured bacterium. RNAcentral describes it as "partial 16S ribosomal RNA". It matches the Rfam family "Bacterial small subunit ribosomal RNA", at positions 505 to 796 of the family's 1533-position model. The record is from RNAcentral.
GUGUCAGCAGCCGCGGUAAUACGAAGGGUGCAAGCGUUAAUCGGAAUUACUGGGCGUAAAGCGUGCGUAGGUGGUUUGUUAAGUCUGAUGUGAAAGCCCUGGGCUCAACCUGGGAAUGGCAUUGGAUACUGGCUUACUAGAGUGCGGUAGAGGGAUGCGGAAUUUCCGGUGUAGCGGUGAAAUGCGUAGAGAUCGGAAGGAACAUCUGUGGCGAAGGCGGCAUCCUGGACCAGCACUGACACUGAGGCACGAAAGCGUGGGGAGCAAACAGGAUUAGAAACCCUAGUAGUCC